GACUUUAGUUCAACGGCCGCGGUAUUCUAACCGUGCGAAGGUAGCGUAAUCACUUGUUCCUUAAAUAGGGACCUGUAUGAAUGGCAUCACGAGGGUUAUACUGUCUCCUUUUUUCAAUCAGUGAAACUGAUCUCCCCGUGAAGAAGCGAGGAUACUAAUAUAAGACGAGAAGACCCUAUGGAGCUUUAAGCAAAUUUACAUAUGUUACCAUUUUCACCCCCGGUGCACCACAAAAAGUACAACAUUCUGAUAAAUAGCUUUCGAUUGGGGUGAUCGCGGAGUAAAAAAUAACCUCCACAACGAACGGGUUAAUCCCCUGAGCCAAAAACUACAACUUUAAGCACUAAAAAAAUUAACGUUUAUUGACCCAACAAUUUGAUCAACGAACCAAGUUACCCUAGGGAUAACAGCGCAAUCCCCUUCAAGAGCCCUUAUCGACAAGGGGGUUUACGACCUCGAUGUUGGAUCAGGGUAUCCCAGUGGUGCAGCCGCUACUAAUGUGUUCGUUUGUUCAACGAUUAAAACCCUACGUGAU
Molecule: ribosomal RNA, 535 nt
Filed under: Boana rufitela (Canal Zone treefrog)
Lineage: Eukaryota; Metazoa; Chordata; Amphibia; Anura; Hylidae
Description: partial large subunit ribosomal RNA
Rfam family: Bacterial large subunit ribosomal RNA
Source: RNAcentral